RNAcentral lists this ribosomal RNA (528 nucleotides) under Triticum aestivum (bread wheat). RNAcentral's name for it is "partial small subunit ribosomal RNA". Lineage: Eukaryota; Viridiplantae; Streptophyta; Magnoliopsida; Poales; Poaceae. The record is from RNAcentral.
AUGUCAAACAUAGCCACCCAUUGGUGUUAUGCGUGCCGUCGGCCAAUUUUUCUUCGUGGACAAGAUACAAUCUAUCCCAACUGCAAUGACCGCUUCGUACAAGAGAUCUGUGAGAUAGGAGGUGCUUUGAACAACUACGGUUUGUUUGGGCCACGCUUCGGUGAUCGCCUAGAAGGACAAUUUGGAAUGAUGGAUGCUAUAUUGGCAAGUACCACACAAGGAAGGCUGUCCCCGAUUGACCCUAGGCUGAUAAUCGACAGCAACAUGCCUGCUCAAGGGAGCGACAAUAGCGGAGUAGACGUGCUUGUUAGGGGAGGCCGCAUGAUCGGUGUUGACUGCCCAAACUUCAGCGGUUUCCUUGUCGGUGGCCCCAGCCUCGAAGCUUUGUUCGAGCAGCUGCUACUGCAGAUCGGCAACCGUCAAGGGCCAGCGCCGGCUCCACAGUCCACAAUCGACUCCAUGCCGGUGGUGAGGAUAACCUGCAGGCAUUUGAGCGAUGAUUCAGUCUUCCCAAUCUGCACAGACUGA